AACAUGGUUCAAGGUUAACAUGGUAGGGACUCACCUCGACCUAUGGAGUGGCUAGCUACCAAGAUGGGGUGAACCCGUUAUUGCCACUUUAGGUUUUGUUGUCUUUAUAUGUGUGCUUUCACUAUAGGGUUAAUUUAUUUGUUUGUACGCUUGGAGAGUGUAUGAUAGCACCCUAGAGUCGUUUCUUUUGGCAUUUUUAUUGAUUUGGUUGUACACUUGGAGUGUUUGUGACAACACCCUAGACUCGUGAUUAUCCUUAGUGAUCACAAUGAUAAAUUGUUUAAGGAAUAUGAAUUUAGUUUUCAUGAAAGAAAUGUCACUA
Molecule: long non-coding RNA, 322 nt
Filed under: Lathyrus oleraceus (garden pea)
Lineage: Eukaryota; Viridiplantae; Streptophyta; Magnoliopsida; Fabales; Fabaceae
Description: Pisum sativum (pea) long non-coding RNA (PSAT_LNC021596)
Source: RNAcentral